RNAcentral lists this unclassified non-coding RNA (254 nucleotides) under air metagenome. RNAcentral's name for it is "partial contains small subunit ribosomal RNA, internal transcribed spacer 1, and 5.8S ribosomal RNA". The stretch from base 1 to 46 matches the Rfam family "Eukaryotic small subunit ribosomal RNA", at positions 1786 to 1831 of the family's 1831-position model. The record is from RNAcentral.
AAGUCGUAACAAGGUUUCCGUAGGUGAACCUGCGGAAGGAUCAUUAUCAAAUAGGCCGGGGGGCAACCCCCAGCGUCUAUAUCCUCUGAUUAUCUACCUCUGUUGCUUUGGCGGAUCGGGCAUCUGCCCCGGCGGUCAGGUGCAAGCCUGCCUGCCGAGCGUCCGUCAGAGACUCAAUUCAACCCUCUUGAACAAUACAGUCUGAAUACAAAAAUAAAUAGCUAAAACUUUCAACAACGGAUCUCUUGGUUCUG